This 520-nucleotide ribosomal RNA is filed under the name uncultured bacterium. Its description in RNAcentral is "bacterial SSU rRNA". It matches the Rfam family "Bacterial small subunit ribosomal RNA", at positions 120 to 674 of the family's 1533-position model. The record is from RNAcentral.
GGGAAUCUACCCAUCUCUGCGGAAUAGCUCCGGGAAACUGGAAUUAAUACCGCAUACGCCCUACGGGGGAAAGAUUUAUCGGGGAUGGAUGAGCCCGCGUUGGAUUAGCUAGUUGGUGGGGUAAAGGCCUACCAAGGCGACGAUCCAUAGCUGGUCUGAGAGGAUGAUCAGCCACAUUGGGACUGAGACACGGCCCAAACUCCUACGGGAGGCAGCAGUGGGGAAUAUUGGACAAUGGGCGCAAGCCUGAUCCAGCCAUGCCGCGUGAGUGAUGAAGGCCUUAGGGUUGUAAAGCUCUUUCACCGAUGAAGAUAAUGACGGUAGUCGGAGAAGAAGCCCCGGCUAACUUCGUGCCAGCAGCCGCGGUAAUACGAAGGGGGCUAGCGUUGUUCGGAAUUACUGGGCGUAAAGCGCACGUAGGCGGAUAUUUAAGUCAGGGGUGAAAUCCCAGAGCUCGACUCUGGAACUGCCUUUGAUACUGGGUAUCUUGAGUAUGGAAGAGGUAAGUGGAAUUGCGAGU